GAUGAAGAACGUAGUGAAAUGCGAUACGUAAUGUGAAUUGCAGAAUUCAGUGAAUCAUCGAGUCUUUGAACGCACAUUGCGCCCCCUGGUAUUCCGGGGGGCAUGCCUGUCCGAGCGUCAUUGCUGCCCUCAAGCACGGCUUGUGUGUUGGGCCUCCGUCCUCCUCCCGGGGGACGGGCCCGAAAGGCAGCGGCGGCACCGCGUCCGGUCCUCGAGCGUAUGGAGCUUCGUCACCCGCUCUUGUAGGCCCGGCCGGCGCUUGCCGACACAUCAAUCUUUUUUCCAGGUUGACCUCGGAUCAGGUAGGAAUACCCGCUGAACUUAAGCAUAUCAAUAAGCGGAGGA
RNAcentral lists this unclassified non-coding RNA (345 nucleotides) under soil metagenome. RNAcentral's name for it is "partial contains 5.8S ribosomal RNA, internal transcribed spacer 2, and large subunit ribosomal RNA". The stretch from base 1 to 120 matches the Rfam family "5.8S ribosomal RNA", at positions 35 to 154 of the family's 154-position model. The record is from RNAcentral.